RNAcentral lists this ribosomal RNA (433 nucleotides) under uncultured bacterium. RNAcentral describes it as "partial 16S ribosomal RNA". It matches the Rfam family "Bacterial small subunit ribosomal RNA", at positions 29 to 507 of the family's 1533-position model. The record is from RNAcentral.
AACGAACGCUGGCGGCAUGCCUAACACAUGCAAGUCGAACGAGACCUUCGGGUCUAGUGGCGCACGGGUGCGUAACGCGUGGGAACCUGCCCUUAGGUUCGGAAUAACUCCCCGAAAGGGGUGCUAAUACCGGAUAAUGUCUUCGGACCAAAGAUUUAUCGCCUUUGGAUGGGCCCGCGUUGGAUUAGCUAGUUGGUAGGGUAAAAGCCUACCAAGGCGACGAUCCAUAGCUGGUCUGAGAGGAUGAUCAGCCACACUGGGACUGAGACACGGCCCAGACUCCUACGGGAGGCAGCAGUGGGGAAUAUUGGACAAUGGGCGAAAGCCUGAUCCAGCAAGGCCGCGUGAGUGAUGAAGGCCGUAGGGUUGUAAAGCUCUUUUACCCGGGAUGAUAAUGACAGUACCGGGAGAAUAAGCACCGGCUAACUCCGUG